AAGUCGAGCGGAUGAGAGGAGCUUGCUCCUGGAUUCAGCGGCGGACGGGUGAGUAAUGCCUAGGAAUCUGCCUGGUAGUGGGGGACAACGUUUCGAAAGGAACGCUAAUACCGCAUACGUCCUACGGGAGAAAGCAGGGGACCUUCGGGCCUUGCGCUAUCAGAUGAGCCUAGGUCGGAUUAGCUAGUUGGUGAGGUAAUGGCUCACCAAGGCGACGAUCCGUAACUGGUCUGAGAGGAUGAUCAGUCACACUGGAACUGAGACACGGUCCAGACUCCUACGGGAGGCAGCAGUGGGGAAUAUUGGACAAUGGGCGAAAGCCUGAUCCAGCCAUGCCGCGUGUGUGAAGAAGGUCUUCGGAUUGUAAAGCACUUUAAGUUGGGAGGAAGGGUUGUAGAUUAAUACUCUGCGAUUUUGACGUUACCGACAGAAUAAGCACCGGCUAACUCUGUGCCAGCAGCCGCGGUAAUACAGAGGGUGCAAGCGUUAAUCGGAAUUACUGGGCGUAAAGCGCGCGUAGGUGGUUUGUUAAGUUGGAUGUGAAAUCCCCGGGCUCAACCUGGGAACU
RNAcentral lists this ribosomal RNA (568 nucleotides) under Pseudomonas sp. M239_4. Its description in RNAcentral is "bacterial SSU rRNA". It matches the Rfam family "Bacterial small subunit ribosomal RNA", at positions 59 to 622 of the family's 1533-position model. Lineage: Bacteria; Pseudomonadati; Pseudomonadota; Gammaproteobacteria; Pseudomonadales; Pseudomonadaceae. The record is from RNAcentral.